GAUGAACGCUGGCGGCGUGCCUAAUACAUGCAAGUCGAGCGAACAGACGAGGAGCUUGCUCCUCUGAUGUUAGCGGCGGACGGGUGAAUAACACGUGGAUAACCUACCUAUAAGACUGGGAUAACUUCGGGAAACCGGAGCUAAUACCGGAUAACAUGUUGAACCGCAUGGUUCAACAGUGAAAGACGGUCUUGCUGUCACUUAUAGAUGGAUCCGCGCCGCAUUAGCUAGUUGGUAAGGUAACGGCUUACCAAGGCAACGAUGCGUAGCCGACCUGAGAGGGUGAUCGGCCACACUGGAACUGAGACACGGUCCAGACUCCUACGGGAGGCAGCAGUAGGGAAUCUUCCGCAAUGGGCGAAAGCCUGACGGAGCAACGCCGCGUGAGUGAAGAAGGUCUUCGGAUCGUAAAACUCUGUUAUUAGGGAAGAACAAAUGUGUAAGUAACUAUGCACGUCUUGACGGUACCUAAUCAGAAAGCCACGGCUAACUACGUG
RNAcentral lists this ribosomal RNA (497 nucleotides) under uncultured bacterium. RNAcentral describes it as "partial 16S ribosomal RNA". It matches the Rfam family "Bacterial small subunit ribosomal RNA", at positions 28 to 507 of the family's 1533-position model. The record is from RNAcentral.